AGGUAAGCUACUAAGAGCGAAUGGUGGAUGCCUUGACUGGUAAAGGCGAUGAAGGACGUACUAGACUGCGAUAAGCUACGGGGAGCUGUCAAGAAGCUUUGAUCCGUAGAUUUCCGAAUGGGGCAACCCAAUGUAUAGAGAUAUACAUUACCUAUAUAGGAGCGAACGAGGGGAAUUGAAACAUCUUAGUACUCUCAGGAAAAGAAAUCAAUAGAGAUUGCGUCAGUAGCGGCGAGCGAAAGCGCAAGAGGGCAAACCCAGUGCUUGCACUGGGGGUUGUAGGACUGCAAUGUGCAAGAGCUGAGUUUAGCAGAACAUUCUGGAAAGUAUAGCCAUAGAGGGUGAUAGUCCCGUAUGCGAAAAACAAAGCUUAGCUAGCAGUAUCCUGAGUAGGGCGGGACACGAGGAAUCCUGUCUGAAUCCGGGUCGACCACGAUCCAACCCUAAAUACUAAUACCAGAUCGAUAGUGCACAAGUACCGUGAGGGAAAGGUGAAAAGAACUGAGGUGAUCAGAGUGAAAUAGAACCUGAAACCAUUUGCUUACAAUCAUUCAGAGCACUAUGUAGCAAUACAGUGUGAUGGACUGCCUUUUGCAUAAUGAGCCUGCGAGUUGUGGUGUCUGGCAAGGUUAAGCAAACGCGAAGCCGUAGCGAAAGCGAGUCUGAAUAGGGCGCUUAGUCAGAUGCUGCAGACCCGAAACGAAGUGAUCUAUCCAUGAGCAAGUUGAAGCUAGUGUAAGAACUAGUGGAGGACUGAACCCAUAGGCGUUGAAAAGCCCCGGGAUGACUUGUGGAUAGGGGUGAAAGGCCAAUCAAACUUCGUGAUAGCUGGUUCUCUCCGAAAUAUAUUUAGGUAUAGCGUUGUGUCGUAAUAUAAGGGGGUAGAGCACUGAAUGGGCUAGGGCAUACACCAAUGUACCAAACCCUAUCAAACUCCGAAUACCUUAUAUGUAAUCACAGCAGUCAGGCGGCGAGUGAUAAAAUCCGUCGUCAAGAGGGAAACAACCCAGACUACCAGCUAAGGUCCCUAAGUCUUACUUAAGUGGAAAACGAUGUGAAGUUACUUAAACAACCAGGAGGUUGGCUUAGAAGCAGCCAUCCUUUAAAGAAAGCGUAAUAGCUCACUGGUCUAGUGAUUUUGCGCGGAAAAUAUAACGGGGCUAAAGUAAGUACCGAAGCUGUAGACUUGCGCACAACUUAGAUUAUUUAAGUUUAGAAUAUGAGAAACUAAGUUAUGUUUAGUUAUAUUUUUACUGAUUUUUAUAGAGUAAAGAUAGAAAUAAAACUUAGUAAAAUCAGUAAAAAUAUUCUUAGGCUAAAGUUAAGUAGUUUAAGUUGUGUGCAAGUGGUAGGAGAGC
Molecule: ribosomal RNA, 1358 nt
Filed under: Campylobacter jejuni
Lineage: Bacteria; Pseudomonadati; Campylobacterota; Epsilonproteobacteria; Campylobacterales; Campylobacteraceae
Description: partial 23S ribosomal RNA
Rfam family: Bacterial large subunit ribosomal RNA
Source: RNAcentral